RNAcentral lists this ribosomal RNA (388 nucleotides) under uncultured bacterium. RNAcentral describes it as "bacterial SSU rRNA". It matches the Rfam family "Bacterial small subunit ribosomal RNA", at positions 29 to 418 of the family's 1533-position model. The record is from RNAcentral.
AUUGAACGCUGGCGGCAUGCCUUACACAUGCAAGUCGAACGGCAGCACGGGAGCAAUCCUGGUGGCGAGUGGCGAACGGGUGAGUAAUAUAUCGGAACGUGCCCAGUCGUGGGGGAUAACGUAGCGAAAGCUACGCUAAUACCGCAUACGAUCUACGGAUGAAAGCAGGGGACCGCAAGGCCUUGCGCGAACGGAGCGGCCGAUGGCAGAUUAGGUAGUUGGUGGGAUAAAAGCUUACCAAGCCGACGAUCUGUAGCUGGUCUGAGAGGACGACCAGCCACACUGGGACUGAGACACGGCCCAGACUCCUACGGGAGGCAGCAGUGGGGAAUUUUGGACAAUGGGCGCAAGCCUGAUCCAGCAAUGCCGCGUGCAGGAUGAAGGCCUU